UUUUGGACAAUGGGGGCAACCCUGAUCCAGCAAUGCCGCGUGAGUGAAGAAGGCCUUCGGGUUGUAAAGCUCUUUUGUCAGGGAAGAAACAGCAGCUCUAACACAGUCUGCGAAUGACGGUACCUGAAGAAUAAGCACCGGCUAACUACGUGCCAGCAGCCGCGGUAAUACGUAGGGUGCGAGCGUUAAUCGGAAUUACUGGGCGUAAAGCGUGCGCAGGCGGUUAUACAAGACAGGCGUGAAAUCCCCGGGCUUAACCUGGGAAUGGCGCCUGUGACUGUAUAGCUAGAGUGUGUCAGAGGGGGGUAGAAUUCCACGUGUAGCAGUGAAAUGCGUAGAUAUGUGGAGGAAUACCAAUGGCGAAGGCAGCCCCCUGGGAUAACGCUGACGCUCAUGCACGAA
RNAcentral lists this ribosomal RNA (402 nucleotides) under uncultured bacterium. Its description in RNAcentral is "bacterial SSU rRNA". It matches the Rfam family "Bacterial small subunit ribosomal RNA", at positions 362 to 757 of the family's 1533-position model. The record is from RNAcentral.